GAUGAACGCUGGCGGCGUGCCUAAUACAUGCAAGUCGAGCGAACAGACGAGGAGCUUGCUCCUCUGACGUUAGCGGCGGACGGGUGAGUAACACGUGGAUAACCUACCUAUAAGACUGGGAUAACUUCGGGAAACCGGAGCUAAUACCGGAUAAUAUAUUGAACCGCAUGGUUCAAUAGUGAAAGACGGUUUUGCUGUCACUUAUAGACGGAUCCGCGCCGCAUUAGCUAGUUGGUAAGGUAACGGCUUACCAAGGCAACGAUGCGUAGCCGACCUGAGAGGGUGAUCGGCCACACUGGAACUGAGACACGGUCCAGACUCCUACGGGAGGCAGCAGUAGGGAAUCUUCCGCAAUUGGCGAAAGCCUGACGGAGCAACGCCGCGUGAGUGAUGAAGGUCUUCGGAUCGUAAAACUCUGUUAUUAGGGAAGAACAAAUGUGUAAGUAACUAUGCACGUCUUGACGGUACCUAAUCAGAAAGCCACGGCUAACUACGUG
RNAcentral lists this ribosomal RNA (497 nucleotides) under uncultured bacterium. Its description in RNAcentral is "partial 16S ribosomal RNA". It matches the Rfam family "Bacterial small subunit ribosomal RNA", at positions 28 to 507 of the family's 1533-position model. The record is from RNAcentral.